AUAAUGCCGAGGGGAGAGAGAGAGAGAGAGAGUUUGAGAGGCGGAGCAGAGGAGGCAAUUCCUUCUGUUCAUGUCGAUUCCGAGAUAUUCUACCGCUCAAUCUUGAUUUCUCUUCCCUUUCUCUUCGAUCCCUGGCUGCCGCCCGGUUGUUCUUGUCUCUCGCCCUCCCCGAUUCCGUGGGUGAACCUAUUGUACCUAACGACUGUGCGGAAGAUGGUUCUUAUCCUAUGUCUACGGAACUAUCUGGUGAUGAAGGAGGGUUUGACAAAUCUCUUUUGAAGUUCUAUUUGAAUCAAGUGUGUUUUCCUUUUCUUGUACUAUUUUGAUUUUGUUUUGGGUAUUUUCUUUGGGUGGCCCAUGUGUUUUUGUCAUUUCAGAAAGUAAAAUGCUUGAAAGGAAAUUAUCAUCUGCUUC
Molecule: long non-coding RNA, 414 nt
Organism: Triticum dicoccoides
Lineage: Eukaryota; Viridiplantae; Streptophyta; Magnoliopsida; Poales; Poaceae
Exons: 3
Source: RefSeq, a predicted model, not a curated record